RNAcentral lists this long non-coding RNA (1738 nucleotides) under Bos indicus x Bos taurus (hybrid cattle). RNAcentral describes it as "lncRNA (ENSBIXG00005020153.1)". Lineage: Eukaryota; Metazoa; Chordata; Mammalia; Artiodactyla; Bovidae. The record is from RNAcentral.
AAAAGCAAUUGAAUACAAAGGCUAAAGUAAAAGAACCUGAUCACUUAUGGAGUUGGGUUUGUUCUUGCAGAUCACAUAUCAAGCUUCUGCGAUGGACCAGGCAUUGUAAUAGGCACUCGAGAAACAAGGAUAUUCCCAGUCCUCAAGGAUCUUCCCUUCUGGUUUGCAAGGAAAUGGUGGUGUGCCGUCUGCUGUGAAAUUCUUGACCCCGUCGGAAUCAUCAGGCUAGAAGGAGGGGGAUACGUAACCCACUAAGGCAGAAUGGACUUUAAGGGAGAAACAGUCUUGGACCACGUGGUGUUCUGGUUCGGCCAUGCUGACCGGCAGGUGAAGACACGCCGAUCCCCCUCCUUCCUCUGGGAUCUGGCAGGAUUUGGACGAGGAUGACCUUCCCAUCCCUGAUACUGGAUGAUGAUGCGCCCACUGCCCCGUGCUCCACCAGGACCGGAGGCCACCUUAAUGCUUGAUCCAGGGCCAGGUAAAGUUCCUGUAGCAGCCGCUGCUCCUCCGUCAGCUCUCCCAGAGGUCGUAGAGCCGCCACCUCAGCAGACUCUGAUCCUGGCUGCAGAAGCCUCUGGCCAACACUUCCAGAAUCUGGCUCCAGCUGAACUGCCCAAGCUAUACCCACCUCUCCCGGACAGAAUCUCAGGACUGCACUGCCUGCUCACAGGUCAGUGCUACCUCUUGGCACAGACAGAAACCUCCAGGGAUUCAGCUGAAAGGCACGCUGCCCUUUGAACACCUGGAAGUGGACUUCACUGAAAUGAAACCUCACCAACACUACCGUCACCUGCUGGUCACGGUAUGUACGUUCUCGGGAUGGGUAGAACCUUUUCCUCCCCGGACUGAAAGAGCAUCAGAAGUAGGCUGGUGCCUGCUUAGAGAAAUAGUUCCCAGAUUUGGAUUUCCUACCAGCAUUGGAUCAGACAAUGGCCCGGCUUUCGUAGCUGAUUUAGUAUAACAGAUAAGCAAUGUCAAGUGGAAAUUACAUACAGCAUAUAGGCCCCAGAGUUCUGCGAUGGUGGAAGGAACCAACCGGACACUUAAAGAGACACUCUCCAAAUGGAUCAUAGAGACUGACUGCUCCUGGGUGGACUUGCUUCUGACGGUUCUGCUCAGACUCAGGAUGACUCCAUGGUCCCAUGGCUAUUCUCCGUACGAAAUUGUGUAUGGGGGGCCCCCUCCCAUUAUAAAACAGGUGUCAACAAAUUUGCCUCAGGUAAGCGGGGGAUAGGAUUUCACAGCAGAUGGAACUGGGUAAGGUGAUAAAUCCGGUAACUAAGUUUGUACAAGAAAGAGUGCUGUUCCCCCUUGGGAAACAGAUUCAUGAGUUUAUGCUUGGUGACCAAGUAUGGGUCAAAGAUUGGAAACAUGAUUUACUAGCACCUUGGUGGAAGGGCCCUUAUACUGUUAAUCUAACAACCCCUACUUCAGUUAAAGUUGCAGGUAUUGCCCCUUGGAUCCAUCAUAUGAGGGUGAAGAGAGCAUACCACGCAGACCCAGAAAAUGCUGAGUGGACUGCACAGAGGGACCCCGCUGACCCUUGAGAGACUAAGAUCAUCCUUAAGAAGAAGAGGAAAAAGAAGAUCCUGGAUGAGCUCCUUCAGGAUGAAGUCACAUAAUCAACUCCUGCUGCUUGGUCUCAUCAGUGUGCACAUUCCUAUGUGGACUUCCACUCUACCUCCAACUGCUGGGUAUGUGGGGCUAUGCGUCUGUCUGUGAUCGAUGGACUUCCUGG